CAUGAAAGAAGUUUAAAAAGGACGGCGUAAGCUGUCGCUAAAGGAUGGACCUGCGAUGCAUUAGCUAGUUGGUAGGGUAACGGGCUUACCAAGGCGAUGAUGCAUAGCCGAGUUGAGAGACUGAUCGGCCACAUUGGGACUGAGACACGGCCCAAACUCCUACGGGAGGCAGCAGUAGGGAAUUUUCCACAAUGGACGCAAGUCUGAUGGAGCAACGCCGCGUGAGUGAAGAAGGUUUUCGGAUCGUAAAGCUCUGUUGUUGGUGAAGAAGGAUAGAGGUAGUAACUGGCCUUUAUUUGACGGUAAUCAACCAGAAAGUCACGGGCUAACUACGUGCCAGCAGCCGCGGUAAAU
This 354-nucleotide ribosomal RNA is filed under the name uncultured Lactobacillus sp. Its description in RNAcentral is "bacterial SSU rRNA". It matches the Rfam family "Bacterial small subunit ribosomal RNA", at positions 186 to 525 of the family's 1533-position model. Lineage: Bacteria; Bacillati; Bacillota; Bacilli; Lactobacillales; Lactobacillaceae. The record is from RNAcentral.